RNAcentral lists this long non-coding RNA (267 nucleotides) under Medicago truncatula (barrel medic). RNAcentral describes it as "long non-coding RNA (MTRU_LNC000958)". The record is from RNAcentral. Lineage: Eukaryota; Viridiplantae; Streptophyta; Magnoliopsida; Fabales; Fabaceae.
GACUUUGGAGAGAUCGAGAUUGGAGUUAGAGAGUGAGAUUUUGGAAACGUUGAGUUCGAGAAUACCGUUGUGUGUGAAUCCGAAUUGAUCGAAAGGGAUGAUGGGACGAUCGUCGCUUCGGAUCUCGGAGAAACGGAUCUCGGAGAAGGUGGUUGGGAGGGUGGUGAGGAGGAGGAGAGGGAGGAGGGGGAGGAGGUGGUGGAAACGCUCCAUCGUGUGAUGAAACGUUUGAGAUUUGGAUUUGGAUCUGAGAAAUAUGUGAAUUUG